This 492-nucleotide ribosomal RNA is filed under the name uncultured bacterium. RNAcentral describes it as "partial 16S ribosomal RNA". It matches the Rfam family "Bacterial small subunit ribosomal RNA", at positions 29 to 507 of the family's 1533-position model. The record is from RNAcentral.
AGUGAACGCUGGCGGUAGGCCUAACACAUGCAAGUCGAACGGCAGCACAGUAAGAGCUUGCUCUUACGGGUGGCGAGUGGCGGACGGGUGAGGAAUACAUCGGAAUCUACUUUUUCGUGGGGGAUAAUGUAGGGAAACUUACGCUAAUACCGCAUACGACCUACGGGUGAAAGCAGGGGAUCUUCGGACCUUGCGCGAUUGAAUGAGCCGAUGUCGGAUUAGCUAGUUGGCGGGGUAAAGGCCCACCAAGGCGACGAUCCGUAGCUGGUCUGAGAGGAUGAUCAGCCACACUGGAACUGAGACACGGUCCAGGCUCCUACGGGAGGCAGCAGUGGGGAAUAUUGGACAAUGGGCGCAAGCCUGAUCCAGCCAUACCGUGUGGGUGAAGAAGGCCUUCGGGUUGUAAAGCCCUUUUGUUGGGAAAGAAAAGCAGCAGGUUAAUACCCCGCUGUUCUGACGGUACCCAAAGAAUAAGCACCGGCUAACUUCGUG